GACGAACGCUGGCGGCGUGCCUAAUACAUGCAAGUUGAGCGCUGAAGGUUGGUACUUGUACCAACUGGAUGAGCAGCGAACGGGUGAGUAACGCGUGGGGAAUCUGCCUUUGAGCGGGGGACAACAUUUGGAAACGAAUGCUAAUACCGCAUAAAAACUUUAAACACAAGUUUUAAGUUUGAAAGAUGCAAUUGCAUCACUCAAAGAUGAUCCCGCGUUGUAUUAGCUAGUUGGUGAGGUAAAGGCUCACCAAGGCGAUGAUACAUAGCCGGACUGAGAGGGUGAUCGGGCAAAAUGGGACUGGGAAACGGCCCCAAAUCCUACGGGGGGCAGCAGUAGGGGAUCUUCGGCAAUGGAGGGAAGUCUGACCGAGCAACGCCGGGGGAGGGAAGAAGGUUUUCGGAUCGGAAAACUCUGUUGGUAGAGAAGAACGAUGUGUAGAGUGAAAAGCGCAUCAAGUGACGGUAACUACCCAGAAAGGGACGGCUAACUACGUG
Molecule: ribosomal RNA, 497 nt
Filed under: uncultured bacterium
Lineage: Bacteria
Description: partial 16S ribosomal RNA
Rfam family: Bacterial small subunit ribosomal RNA
Source: RNAcentral